RNAcentral lists this long non-coding RNA (1115 nucleotides) under Carica papaya (papaya). Its description in RNAcentral is "long non-coding RNA (CPAP_LNC009171)". Lineage: Eukaryota; Viridiplantae; Streptophyta; Magnoliopsida; Brassicales; Caricaceae. The record is from RNAcentral.
AAAAUUUUAGUGCAAAUUACAAUCCCCUGGCAAUAAGCUGUAAACAAAAUUUUGGCACGAGCUCGGUCGAUGGUCCCUCUUGAUUUAUUACCUUCUGCUCUUCUUUCUUGCUAAUGAAUUCGCCAUUUUCUUCCAGAGCAAACGCUGAUCUCCUCCUUCCCUCCGCUACCAAAAGGUCCAAAACAGAGCCUCUCACAGAUCCAUUCUCUUCUUUUACGCGUGUACCGGAGCCACCUGCAACUCAACCACCACCUCUUAAAGCCGCCGGCGCCGGUCUCGCAGAACGCCAGCUCUUACAUCGCCAUUAACCUGACCAGACACACCGUUUCCCUUUCGCAUUUGCACAUCAGAGCCGACCGGUCGUCCGAUUUCACGAACAGACGCACACAUCUUCAUUCCACCGCUCGUCUCGCGCUCUUCUCAUCUACACAAGAUCUUCUUGAAAGACUUUCUGUACAUCACGGAAAGGUGACUUACCUCUCCCAUUUUGAGUAAUGUUGAUAAAUCGAAAUUUGGAUAUGUAGGAAUUUUCACUGUAAAGUUCUAGAUUGUUGAUUAAGGUUUACGUAACUCUGAUAGAAUGUUUGUUUUCUUUGAAUCUGCUUUUCAGGGUUAUUUAUUGAGUUUAGUAAGAAGACCUAGUUAAUAAGAUUUGUUUCUUUUCGUAUCUUGUGGUAUUGCUUGUCUUUUCCCAUGUGAUAGCUGAUCUCGAGCUUUUUCUGCUGCAUUUCUCUAUCUCUGGUUGCUGAUCUCGUUAAGGUUCCAGCAUAAGUUUUCCUUGAGCACUGAACCUUUCUGUGUUAUGCUAAGCAUAGAGGACUAAACAUUGUUAAUCUUAAAUAAAAAAGUUUGUAAAUUACUGCUGUUGAUUUGAGAAUAUGGAAGAUGAGUUAUCACUGUUCUUCUUUUCCCUUGGAUCCGUUACCUGUGAGCUUUUGAGUUUAUGUAUCCUUUCCACAAAGGGAAGUGCUAAAGGGAUUGUGUAUUCUUACUGGACUUUGCCAAACUUCAUAAUUUGCACUACCAUCUAUUUAUUGUCCAUCAAAAGAUACAUUGUCUGAUACCCAUGUAAUUGAUUGUCUUGUGCAUUCUGAGUCUUGUAGUUUCUUUUGAAC